This 638-nucleotide long non-coding RNA is filed under the name Linum usitatissimum (flax). Its description in RNAcentral is "long non-coding RNA (LUSI_LNC002633)". Lineage: Eukaryota; Viridiplantae; Streptophyta; Magnoliopsida; Malpighiales; Linaceae. The record is from RNAcentral.
AGCCGUGUCAGAAAAUAGAAGUCUCAGACAUCCAAGGAAGGAUAAAAGCAGCAUUGGCUCUCAAGCCCGGCGAAAGGCGAAAGCCCUUAGGCGGCCACUGCGAAUGUUUGAGAAACAAGCCUUUGGAUUUAUCAUCAUCGACGAACCGCAAACAUCAAACACAAGAAAUGCCCCCUUUCAACUUCUAGCAGAGAUUCAAAGGGAAAUUAGCUGAACAUCUGUCUUAAAAAGCUCGAUUUUUGUAUAUAAUCAUGUGAUUAACAUCAGCUGAAUAAUUGUAAUUCAUCAACUGCUCAGCGAAACAGCGGUUGGGAAAUAAUCAAAGGAGGUGUAUCAUCGUUUCUUGAACCUUUGAGCCACUGAUAAAAUAACACAGGUUCACCCAAUAACAAUGAACAUAGUGAUUUCCCUGGGGUUAACGAGAGAUCUGUUCACUAAGAUUGUAACAGAUCACUGCUUUUUGUCCACCAGGAUGAUGUUUAUAUAAAACGGAUAACAAAUAGGAUCAGAAGGCGGUCUCAGACAUCCAAGGAAGGAUAAAAACAGCACAAGCUCUCAAGCCCGGCGAAAGGCGAAAGCUCUUAGGCGGCCACUGCGAAUGUUUGAGAAACAAGCCUUUGGAUUUAUCAUCAUCGACU